Molecule: ribosomal RNA, 374 nt
Filed under: uncultured organism
Description: bacterial SSU rRNA
Rfam family: Bacterial small subunit ribosomal RNA
Source: RNAcentral
CGGAGGGUGCGAGCGUUGUCCGGAAUCAUUGGGCGUAAAGGGCGCGUAGGUGGCGGCUUAAGCGUGCGGUGAAAGCUCGGGGCUCAACCCCCGAGUCGGCCGUGCGAACUGAGUCGCUUGAGCACUGUAGAGGCAGGCGGAAUUCCGGGUGUAGCGGUGGAAUGCGUAGAGAUCCGGAAGAACACCGGUGGCGAAGGCGGCCUGCUGGGCAGUAGCUGACACUGAGGCGCGACAGCGUGGGGAGCAAACAGGAUUAGAUACCCUGGUAGUCCACGCCGUAAACGAUGGGCACUUGGCGCUUGGGGGAGCGGACCCCCCGAGGGCCGGCGCUAACGCAUUAAGUGCCCCGCCUGGGGAGUACGGCCGCAAGGCUG